AGCAUGUGGCUUAAUUUGACUCAACGCGGGAAAUCUUACCGGGUCCGGACACACUGAGGAUUGACAGGUAACGUUAUACACACAUAUAUUUACUCUCGGGUAUUUAUACUGCUGUGUAUAUAUAAAAUAUGCUAGUCCUUUCAUGAUUAUGUGAUAGGUGGUGCAUGGCCGUUCUUAGUUCGUGGAGUGAUCUGUCUGCUUAAUUGCGUUUCACUAAGGAUCUAUAUUCAUAUUACGCAUAGCAUUUUGACCCCUUUAUGCUUCGGUAUAAAGCUGCGCGUCAAACCUUGCUAUCUGCGUAUAUUAGAUCCUGAAAGCAACGAACGUGACCGCAACCUCUUGUUGCCUUUAACUAGGUUUUGCUUACGUAUAGCUUCGGCUUUACGCUUUGCAUCUAAAAAGGCUGAUUUUCUAAACUAGAGGGACCGCUGUUACUUUCUUAAACCAGAGGAAGGUUGCGGCAAUAACAGG
Molecule: ribosomal RNA, 471 nt
Filed under: Nonionella sp. T1
Lineage: Eukaryota; Foraminifera; Rotaliida; Nonionidae
Description: SSU rRNA
Rfam family: Eukaryotic small subunit ribosomal RNA
Source: RNAcentral